RNAcentral lists this ribosomal RNA (467 nucleotides) under uncultured bacterium. RNAcentral describes it as "partial 16S ribosomal RNA". It matches the Rfam family "Bacterial small subunit ribosomal RNA", at positions 29 to 507 of the family's 1533-position model. The record is from RNAcentral.
ACGAACGCUGGCGGCGUGCUUAACCCAUGCCAGUCGAACGGAAAGGCCCUGCUUUUGUGGGGUGCUCGCGUGGCGAACGGGUGAGUAACACGUGAGUAACCUGCCCUUGACUUUGGGAUAACUUCAGGAAACUGGGGCUAAUACCGGAUAGGAGCUCCUGCUGCAUGGUGGGGGUUGGAAAGUUUCGGCGGUUGGGGAUGGACUCGCGGCUUAUCAGCUUGUUGGUGGGGUAGUGGCUUACCAAGGCUUUGACGGGUAGCCGGCCUGAGAGGGUGACCGGCCACAUUGGGACUGAGAUACGGCCCAGACUCCUACGGGAGGCAGCAGCGGGGAAUAUUGCACAAUGGGCGGAAGCCUGAUGCAGCAACGCCGCGUGCGGGAUGACGGCCUUCGGGUUGUAAACCGCUUUCGCCUGUGACGAAGCGUGAGUGACGGUAAUGGGUAAAGAAGCACCGGCUAACUACGUG